Molecule: ribosomal RNA, 253 nt
Filed under: uncultured bacterium
Lineage: Bacteria
Description: partial 16S ribosomal RNA
Rfam family: Bacterial small subunit ribosomal RNA
Source: RNAcentral
UACAGAGGGUGCAAGCGUUAAUCGGAAUUACUGGGCGUAAAGCGCGCGUAGGUGGUUUGUUAAGUUGGAUGUGAAAGCCCCGGGCUCAACCUGGGAACUGCAUCCAAAACUGGCAAGCUAGAGUACGGUAGAGGGUGGUGGAAUUUCCUGAGUAGCGGUGAAAUGCGUAGAUAUAGGAAGGAACACCAGUGGCGAAGGCGACCACCUGGACUGAUACUGACACUGAGGUGCGAAAGCGUGGGGAGCAAACAGG